GACGAACGCCGGCGGCGUGCCUAAUACAUGCAAGUAGAACGCUGAAGAGAGGAGCUUGCUCUUCUUGGAUGAGUUGCGAACGGGUGAGUAACGCGUAGGUAACCUGCCUUGUAGCGGGGGAUAACUAUUGGAAACGAUAGCUAAUACCGCAUAACAAUGGAUGACACAUGUCAUUUAUUUGAAAGGGGCAAUUGCUCCACUACAAGAUGGACCUGCGUUGUAUUAGCUAGUAGGUGAGGUAACGGCUCACCUAGGCGACGAUACAUAGCCGACCUGAGAGGGUGAUCGGCCACACUGGGACUGAGACACGGCCCAGACUCCUACGGGAGGCAGCAGUAGGGAAUCUUCGGCAAUGGGGGCAACCCUGACCGAGCAACGCCGCGUGAGUGAAGAAGGUUUUCGGAUCGUAAAGCUCUGUUGUAAGUCAAGAACGAGUGUGAGAGUAGAAAGUUCACACUGUGACGGUAGCUUACCAGAAAGGG
Molecule: ribosomal RNA, 482 nt
Filed under: Streptococcus sp. oral taxon C65
Lineage: Bacteria; Bacillati; Bacillota; Bacilli; Lactobacillales; Streptococcaceae
Description: bacterial SSU rRNA
Rfam family: Bacterial small subunit ribosomal RNA
Source: RNAcentral